Molecule: long non-coding RNA, 413 nt
Filed under: Olea europaea (common olive)
Lineage: Eukaryota; Viridiplantae; Streptophyta; Magnoliopsida; Lamiales; Oleaceae
Description: long non-coding RNA (OEUR_LNC000986)
Source: RNAcentral
CCGCUGCCGUUUUAUCCUCCGUCCGACUCUCCCUUAUUUUCAUUCUUCCAUAAACAUCAACCCCAAACAGUCCCUUAUCAUUCCCCUCCAACCGUCGUCGUCUUUUUCCACCCGAAAUCUCGUCGCCUAUCCUCCCAUCUCCACGCGUCGCCUCUUCUUCUCUUCCACUGCUCUCUUGUACGAGCCCGCAAACGAUGUCUUUGCGGUCCAAAACGAAAUAGGCGAUUUUGACGGGGGUAGAAAAGUUGCAUGGAAGAAAAAAAAAAAUAAAAUGUAAUGAAAUGUAAUUUAACGAGGCUCAGAGCCUAAUUGGAAGUUGCCAACUCUCGCUGUGAAAGAGAAGAAAUAAUUGGCAUCGUAUGCACAUGGCUUUGGGAAAAUCUUAAGUCUCAACAGUUGGGAAAGUCUGGAGU